Molecule: long non-coding RNA, 1451 nt
Filed under: Numida meleagris (helmeted guineafowl)
Lineage: Eukaryota; Metazoa; Chordata; Aves; Galliformes; Numididae
Description: lncRNA (ENSNMEG00000005008.1)
Source: RNAcentral
ACUUGGUGGGGUCUAGGUGGGAUCUGGGGGAAUCUAGGUGGAAUCUGGGGGGAUCCGGGGGAUCUAGGUGGGAUGCAGGGAGGUCUGGGGGAUCUUGGGGGGGUCUAGGUGGGAUCUGGGGGGUCUAGGUGGGAUCUGGGGGGUCUAGGUGGGAUUUUAGGGUAACUUGGGGGGGUCUUGGGGAUCUAGGAGGGAUCUGGUUGGGAUCUGGGGUAACUCAGUGGGAUCUGGAGGGUCCAGGUGGGAUCUGGGUGGGAUCUGGGGGUAACUCGAUGGGAUCUGGGGGGAUCUAGGUGGGAUCUGGGGUAACCAGGAGGGAUCUGGGGGGAUCUGGGUGGGAUCUGGGGUAACCAGGAGGGAUCUGGAGGGAUCUAGGAGGGAUCUGGGGGUAACUAGGAGGGAUCUGAGGGGUCUAGGUGGGAUUUGGGGGUAACUAGGAGGAGUCUUGGGGNCACCCCAAAAUCCCCCUCCAAAAUGGGGCGAAAUCCCACGAUUUUGGGGUCCCCCAUCCUCCUCCUUCAGACACCUCAGAAUGGGGCAAAACCCCUCAGUUUUGGGGUUCCCGUCCUCCUCCUUUAGACAGCUCAAAAUGGGACAAAACUUCACAAUUUUGGGGCUCCUCCAGGCACCUCAAAAUGGGGCAAAACCUCACGAUUUUGGGGUCCCCAUCCUCCUCCUUCAGACACCUCAGAAUGGGGCAAAACCCCUCAAUUUUGGGGUUUCUCGAACCACCUCAGAAUGGGGCAAAACUUCACAAUUUUGGGGCUCCUCCAACCACCUCAGAAUGGGGCAAAACUUCACAAUUUUGGGGCUCCUCCAGGCACCUCAAAAUGGGGCAAAACCUCACGAUUUUGGGGUCCCCAUCCUCCUCCUUUAGCUCAAAAUGGGGCGAAAUCCCACGAUUUUGGAGUCCCCAUCCUCCUCCUUCAGACACCUCAAAAUGGGGCAAAACCCCUCAAUUUUGGGGCUCCGCCAACCAGCUCAGAAUGGGGCAAAACCCCUCAAUUUUGGGGCUCCUUUAGACAGCUCAAAAUGGGGCAAAACCUCACAAUAUUGGGGUCCCCAUCCUCCUCCUUUAGACAGCUCAAAAUGGGGUGAAAUCCCACGAUUUUGGGGUCCCCAUCCUCCUCCUUCAGACACCUCAGAAUGGGGCAAAACCCCUCAAUUUUGGGGUUCCUCCAGGCACCUCAAAAUGGGGCAAAACCUCACGAUUUUGGGGUCCCCAUCCUCCUCCUUUAGACAGCUCAAAAUGGGGCAAAACUUCACAAUUUUGGGGUUCCUUCGGGCACCUCGGAAUGGGGCAAAACCCCUCAAUUUUGGGGUUCCUCCAGCCGCCACAGAAUGGGGCAAAAUCCGCCCAUUUUGGGGUUCCCCUCCUUCCCCUGCCCCCCCCAAGUUCCCGUUGACGAAAAUGUGCCUCUUUUCUCUUAAAACCAACUUAAAAACCUACC